GUCACUUCUGCUCACAUUUCACUGGCCAGAGUAAGUCACAUGGCCAAGCCUCGUCAGAGGGCGUGGAAGGACGUUCUGGGGACAGGAUGGUAUAACCUGCUUAGGAGAAGGAAUUGCUGGGCACAACGGCACCAUCUAUCAUCCGGCUGGCACUGGUUAAGGCUUACGUGUGUGGGGCUUUGUGCCAGCAGCUUCACACCCUUAGCUCAUUGACUCCUCAUGUAGCCCCAUUUUAUAGGUAAGAAAACUGAGGCUUUGAGAGGGAGAGAGACUUGCUCAUCGAUCAUAAACAAGAUUAACUGACAGACUGAGAAAAUCCUGAAGGUCUACAUGCUUCUCAGGUCUUGCCCCGUUCCAUCUUCUUGAGGCCAGGGUGAGAAAAUCCUUGGCCUAGGAUGUAGCCCACGCGGAACACUCACAAAUGGUAGUGGAGUUAAAGAUCUGAGUUGAGGCCAGGCGCGGUGGCUCACGCCUGUAAUCCCAGCACUUUGGGAGGCCGAGGCAGGUGGAUUACCUGAGGUCAGGAGUUCGAGACCAGCCUGGCCAACACGGCAAAACCCUGUCUUAACUAAAAAUACAAAAAUUAGCCAGGCAUGGUGGUGCAUGUCUGUAAUCCCAGGUACAUGGAAAGCUGAGGCAGGAGAAUCGCUUGAACCUGGGAGGCGGAGGUUGCGGUGAGUUGAGAUCGCGCCAAUUGCACUUCAGCCUGGGAGAAACUCCGUCUCAAAAAAAAAAGAUCCUAGUUGGGUGUGGGGGCGUCUUGAGCCAGCAAUGCAGCUGCACAUCCCACCAGGGUGCCGGAAGAGCUUGCUCUGGGGGAGCCCACACCCCACCUUUCAGCUCAGCUCUGCCUCCACCGUGCCUGCAAAUCUAGGUGCUCCCCAGAGUGCACAGGGUCAAGGGAGGGCAGGGGUUUACAGAAGUAAAUCCAACUCCUCCUGGAGGAAAGGGAGAGAAGGAGCCUUGUGCAUCCCAGGACCCUGUGACCCUGUGAUCACUCCUUUGCGGCUGAAUCUCCCAGGCUCUAAGUGCCUCUGGGGGGUUAUGAAUUUCUUGUCUGCUUGUUUGUUUCAGCAGGGGUGGGCAGGGGGCAGAAAAACCUUAUGUUCUUUUUAUUAUGCUCCUCAUUUUACAGAUAGAGAAACUGAGGCCCAGGGAGGUUAAAGCCACUUCCCACAGCAAGGGCUGAUGAUAGAUCCAGGACUCAAGUGCAGCUGGGGCGGGCGCUGGGAGGACUGGGCACUGAGGCCCCAGAUUGGGAAACGGAGGCUCCGAGGUGCCAGAGCUUGCAAACCGAUGGAGGUUGGCCAGACUUCAUGAGCCACACUCUGAAUAUUCCCUUUGAGGCACAAACAACAGAAUCAAGAAGGAGGCCACGCGCGGAGGCUCACACCUGUCAUCCCAGCACUUUGGGAGCCGAGGUGGGUGGAUCACUUGAGGCCAGGAGUUUGAGGCCAGCCUGGCCAACAUGGCGAAAUCCCAUCUCUCCUAAAAAUACAAAAAUUAUCUGGCUGUGCUGGUGCACACCUGUAGUCCCAGCUACUUGGGAGGCUGAGGCCGGAUAAUCGCUUGAACCUGGGAGGUGAAGGGUGCAGUGAGCCGAGAUCACACCACUACACAUCAGCCUGGGUUAACAAAGCAAGACUCUGUCUCAAAAAAAAAAAAGAAAAAAAAGAAAGAAAGAGAGAGAGAGAGAAAGAAAAAGAGAGAAAGAAAGAAAGAAAGAAAGAAAGAAGGAAAGAAAGAAAGAAAAGAAAGAAAGAAGAAAGAAAGAAAAGGAAAAGAAAAGAAAAGGGAGGGAGGGAGGGAGGGAGGAAGGAAGGAAGGAAGGAAGGAAGGAAGGAAGGAAGGAAGGAAGGAAUCAAGAAGGAAAGCCCUGCCUGCCUUGCCACAAAGCUCUAGGCCUCCCACCCUCCUCCCUGCUGAGUCAGGUGCCCACUGUGGACUCGAGGCUUUGGGUUCCGCCAAGAUGGCCAGAUAGGGACUUCUAUGCUGGUUUCCCUGACGCCAUUUCCCUCCCAGCCCUGGCUUUCCAGAGCCCUAAACUGCCUUUCCCUAUGAAAGGGGAUAGAGCUUCCCACAGCCACCCGUGCCUCUCUGUGACUAUCAGAACAGGGGCCCCACUGACACCAAUAAUGAUGCCUGCUGUAUGAGGCCAGCCUGUUCUCUGCAGCCCUGAGGUCAGAGGACAAAACGAGACACAACCUAUGUGCCCAUCCUCUGGGGAUUGGAUAACCACAUACAGGUACAUGUGCACAAUGGAAUACUACGCAGCCAGGAAAAAUAAUGAGGUGCAAUAAAUUGCCAAACAGGACAUAUAAUAUUGACUGGCAUUUUUAGGGAAGCGUGGUGGCUUCCACCUGUAAUCCCAGCACUUUGGGAGGCCAAGGUGGUAGAACCACUUGCACCCAGGAGUUUGACACCAGCCUGGGCAACAUAGUGAGACUCUAUAUCUAGAAGAAAUAAAAAAUUCGCCGGGUUUGGUGGCCUGUGCCUGUAGUCCCAGCUGCUCGGGAGGCUGAGGUGGGAGGAUGGCUUGAGCUGUGAUCAUGCAACUGCACUCCAGCCUGGGCAAGAGAGCAAGACCCUAUCUCACACAAAAAAAAGUUUCUAUAAGUAUCUGUAUUGACAGAAAAACUCCAACCCUGA
This 2649-nucleotide long non-coding RNA is filed under the name Homo sapiens (human). RNAcentral's name for it is "HSALNT0155951". The record is from RNAcentral. Lineage: Eukaryota; Metazoa; Chordata; Mammalia; Primates; Hominidae.